RNAcentral lists this ribosomal RNA (253 nucleotides) under uncultured bacterium. Its description in RNAcentral is "partial 16S ribosomal RNA". It matches the Rfam family "Bacterial small subunit ribosomal RNA", at positions 524 to 776 of the family's 1533-position model. The record is from RNAcentral.
UACAGAGGGUGCGAGCGUUAAUCGGAAUUACUGGGCGUAAAGCGUGCGUAGACGGUUAUUUAAGUCGGGUGUGAAAGCCCCGGGCUCAACCUGGGAAUUGCAUUCGAGACUGAAUAGCUAGGGUACGGUAGAGGGAAGUGGAAUUUCCGGUGUAGCGGUGAAAUGCGCAGAUAUCGGGAGGAACACCCGUAGCGAAGGCGGCACUCUGGGCCGGUACUGACGCUGAGGAGCGAAAGCGUGGGGAGCAAACAGG